RNAcentral lists this ribosomal RNA (497 nucleotides) under uncultured bacterium. RNAcentral's name for it is "partial 16S ribosomal RNA". It matches the Rfam family "Bacterial small subunit ribosomal RNA", at positions 28 to 507 of the family's 1533-position model. The record is from RNAcentral.
GAUGGACGCUGGCGGCGUGCCUAAUACAUGCAAGUCGAGCGAACAGAUAAGGAGCUUGCUCCUUUGACGUUAGCGGCGGACGGGUGAGUAACACGUGGGUAACCUACCUAUAAGACUGGGAUAACUUCGGGAAACCGGAGCUAAUACCGGAUAAUAUUUCGAACCGCAUGGUUCGAUAGUGAAAGAUGGUUUUGCUAUCACUUAUAGAUGGACCCGCGCCGUAUUAGCUAGUUGGUAAGGUAACGGCUUACCAAGGCGACGAUACGUAGCCGACCUGAGAGGGUGAUCGGCCACACUGGAACUGAGACACGGUCCAGACUCCUACGGGAGGCAGCAGUAGGGAAUCUUCCGCAAUGGGCGAAAGCCUGACGGAGCAACGCCGCGUGAGUGAUGAAGGUCUUCGGAUCGUAAAACUCUGUUAUUAGGGAAGAACAUACGUGUAAGUAACUGUGCACGUCUUGACGGUACCUAAUCAGAAAGCCACGGCUAACUACGUG